RNAcentral lists this ribosomal RNA (426 nucleotides) under uncultured bacterium. RNAcentral describes it as "bacterial SSU rRNA". It matches the Rfam family "Bacterial small subunit ribosomal RNA", at positions 354 to 796 of the family's 1533-position model. The record is from RNAcentral.
GUGAGGAAUCUUGCACAAUGGGGGCAACCCUGAUGCAGCGACGCCGCGUGCGGGAGGAAGGCCUUCGGGUCGUAAACCGCUUUUCUGGGGGACGAGUAAGGACGGUACCCCAGGAAUAAGUCCCGGCUAACUACGUGCCAGCAGCCGCGGUAAGACGUAGGGGGCGAGCGUUAUCCGGAAUCACUGGGCGUAAAGGGCGUCUAGGCGGCCUGCUAAGUCCCGCGUGAAAGCUCCUGGCUCAACUAGGAGAGGUCGCGGGAAACUGGCAGGCUAGAGACUCGGAGAGGGGUGUGGAAUUCCCGGUGGAGUGGUGAAAUGCGUUGAGAUCGGGAGGAACACCAGAGGCGAAGGCGGCACCCUGGCCGAGGUCUGACGCUGAAGCGCGAGAGCGUGGGGAGCGAACGGGAUUAGAAACCCUAGUAGUCC